This 81-nucleotide transfer RNA is filed under the name Chloroflexota bacterium. Its description in RNAcentral is "Chloroflexi bacterium (marine sediment metagenome) tRNA-Tyr". It matches the Rfam family "tRNA". From Rfam's summary of the family: Transfer RNA (tRNA) molecules are approximately 80 nucleotides in length. Their secondary structure includes four short double-helical elements and three loops (D, anti-codon, and T loops). Further hydrogen bonds mediate the characteristic L-shaped molecular structure. tRNAs have two regions of fundamental functional importance: the anti-codon, which is responsible for specific mRNA codon recognition, and the 3' end, to which the tRNAs corresponding amino acid is attached (by aminoacyl-tRNA synthetases). tRNAs cope with the degeneracy of the genetic code in two manners: having more than one tRNA (with a specific anti-codon) for a particular amino acid; and 'wobble' base-pairing, i.e. permitting non-standard base-pairing at the 3rd anti-codon position. The record is from RNAcentral. RNAcentral also lists the same sequence under 1 other name. Lineage: Bacteria; Bacillati; Chloroflexota.
GGAGGGGUUCCCGAGUGGCCAAAGGGAGCUGACUGUAAAUCAGCUGCGUAAGCUUCGGUGGUUCGAAUCCGCCCCCCUCCA